This is a non-coding RNA of Acanthosepion pharaonis, 115 nucleotides long. The record is from the annotation of a GenBank genome assembly. NCBI's taxonomy places the organism in Eukaryota, Metazoa, Mollusca, Cephalopoda, Sepiida, Sepiidae.
UUACGCCCAUAUCACGUUGAAACAUCGGUUCUCGUCUGAACCCCCAAGUUAAGCAACGAUGAGCCUCGUCAGUACCUUGAUGGGUGACCGCUUGAAAAAUUCCAGAUGCUGUAAG